Long non-coding RNA from Oncorhynchus tshawytscha (Chinook salmon), 584 nucleotides. RefSeq lists it as uncharacterized. NCBI's taxonomy places the organism in Eukaryota, Metazoa, Chordata, Actinopteri, Salmoniformes, Salmonidae. The transcript has 3 exons. The record is from RefSeq and is a predicted model, not a curated record.
UGCGCCACUAAGAACAGUAAAAUCCAUUGGAUGUGGGGACAUUCUACAGUCACCAAAAUAUUUUGUUAUCAAGCUUUAUCGACUUGAUCCAUAUUGUCAUUAUAUGCAAUAUGUUUCUCUAAGAUACGGAGGCUCAGACGCUGCAAGCAGGGUCCUCAAUGGCUGAUGCACAGAAUGAAUGAGGCCCUGAGGGGAUGAAGCCUUGAGUCUGCUCUGCAUGAGGAAGUGUCAGAGGGAUGAGUCUGCGAACUGUGUUUCAAUCUCAGAAUGUGGUGGUUGGAUCUACUGGAGCUCAUAGAGCAAGUCCUGAACAGUCACCGACAGCUCCUGAAAGAUAUGAGUGGAGGGGCGACAUGACCACCUCCUUAGGACCAUCUGGCAGAACGCCCAAGAAGAUGGGAGACGAUGCCAGACACAUGCCGGAACCAAUCCUAUGAACGAAACCUAUGCAACAUGUCUGUAACCAGUAUAUAAGGAUCUAACAGGACUGCCCCAGGUAGAGCUCCUGAUUGACAUGUGUACUUUGUGCAUUGAGUUGGUUGGAACCUCUCCAGCGCGCUGAUAAUAAACAAUGAAUCAUUUAA